Molecule: non-coding RNA, 22 nt
Filed under: Mus musculus (house mouse)
Lineage: Eukaryota; Metazoa; Chordata; Mammalia; Rodentia; Muridae
Source: RNAcentral
UGGUAUCAUGGAGUUCCCCAGG